RNAcentral lists this non-coding RNA (32 nucleotides) under Mus musculus (house mouse). Lineage: Eukaryota; Metazoa; Chordata; Mammalia; Rodentia; Muridae. The record is from RNAcentral.
GACAAUUUCAGUAUUUUUGUAUCUGUUGAGGU